Molecule: non-coding RNA, 384 nt
Organism: Physcomitrium patens
Lineage: Eukaryota; Viridiplantae; Streptophyta; Bryopsida; Funariales; Funariaceae
Source: RefSeq, a predicted model, not a curated record
GACCAGUGAGAGUAUUGAAGCAACGUCGCUGAAGUGCGUUACUUGAGCUGAAUCAUGCUUACAAGCCUAACGAGUCUGACACUGUUUGAGUUUGCAUCGCAAGUAAGAGCGUUUGGAAAAUCGCGAAUUUGUCCACAAGGAAGAAGGAAAAAGUGUCGAGGAAAAGUCUGAUUUCCAGCGGACCUGCACAGUGAAUGUCAACAACAGCAGCCUUUUUCAAACAGAUGUCGCAUGCGCCGCCAGAGACUUGAGUAGGCCUACGACAGAGCCCAGAGCUCCAUUUGCAGGGCGAGUGUUCUGCCAACCCCAGCUACAUGUCAAUGGUCUAAGCUCUCAAGAGAUGGCUACAUCUGUCCAGCCAACGAGCAACGAGGAAGAACUGAC